RNAcentral lists this ribosomal RNA (577 nucleotides) under uncultured bacterium. Its description in RNAcentral is "partial 16S ribosomal RNA". It matches the Rfam family "Bacterial small subunit ribosomal RNA", at positions 355 to 920 of the family's 1533-position model. The record is from RNAcentral.
UGGGGAAUAUUGCACAAUGGGCGCAAGCCUGAUGCAGCCAUGCCGCGUGUGUGAAGAAGGCCUUCGGGUUGUAAAGCACUUUCAGCGAGGAGGAAGGUGGUGAACUUAAUACGUUCAUCAAUUGACGUUACUCGCGGAAGAAGCACCGGCUAACUCCGUGCCAGCAGCCGCGGUAAUACGGAGGGUGCAAGCGUUAAUCGGAAUUACUGGGCGUAAAGCGCACGCAGGCGGUUUGUUAAGUCAGAUGUGAAAUCCCCGGGCUCAACCUGGGAACUGCAUUUGAAACUGGCAAGCUAGAGUCUCGUAGAGGGGGGUAGAAUUCCAGGUGUAGCGGUGAAAUGCGUAGAGAUCUGGAGGAAUACCGGUGGCGAAGGCGGCCCCCUGGACGAAGACUGACGCUCAGGUGCGAAAGCGUGGGGAGCAAACAGGAUUAGAUGCCCUGGUAGUCCACGCUGUAAAGCGAUGUCGAUUUUGGAGGUUGUGCCCUUGAGGCGUGGCUUCCGGAGCUAACGCGUUAAAUCGACCGCCUGGGGGAGUACGGCCGCAAGGUUAAAAACUUAAAUGAAUUGACGGGGUC